This 757-nucleotide ribosomal RNA is filed under the name Tubifera ferruginosa subsp. ferruginosa. RNAcentral's name for it is "partial 18S ribosomal RNA". It matches the Rfam family "Eukaryotic small subunit ribosomal RNA", at positions 35 to 557 of the family's 1831-position model. The record is from RNAcentral. Lineage: Eukaryota; Evosea; Eumycetozoa; Liceales; Reticulariaceae.
UUCCAAAGAUUAAGCCAUGCAUGCCUAGGAAGGGUGUAGUUAUUACAGAAUCUGCGAAUGGCUCCGUAUACCUGUUACCACCUGUGGUUUCCCACCCUUUUCAGCGGAUAAUGCUGGAAACCCUAGCAAUAAUACGUUAUUUCAACAUAUUAUUGUUAGAUCGGGUUGCUUAAGCUCGAAGGGAGCGCACCUCUCGCAGGUGCUUCCUUUCAACAGGGGUUUGCUCCUGGUCGCUGGGGCUCCUGCUUGUCCGGCAUACCGACCCGGGAACCAAAAGAGUGGCUGCGUUAAGUCGUGCUCCUUUGUCUCCCAAGCAUCUGGGCAACAUGUAGGCGCUGCCUGAGCUGAUUCGUCAGCGAUGGCAGUGCUUAUCCAGGUGCGAAGGAACCAAGACGAAGAAACGGGUGCGAUGUAGCUCACUCUUUCCCGGUGCUCGACCAAUGCAUGAUUUGGGUGGGAGAAGGCCUCGAUGGAGGCUUGUUCAAUGCCCUCCACGUUGAUGCUGGGCUUCAGUCCUAUCAACUGGAUUGCCGGGCAUUGACCUGCCACGGUGGUAACGGGUGCAGAGGAUUAGGGUUUGAUCCUGGAGAGGUAGCCUGAGAAAUAGCUCCCACUUCCAUGGAAGGCAGCAGGCGCGCAACGUUCCCAAUGGUUUACGGACCGAGGACGUUAAGGAACAUAGCAAUACUUUGCCUAAUAGCAAAGCAAUUGAAAUGGGGGAGAUCCAAAUCAUCCACCGAGUAACAAUUAGAGGACA